RNAcentral lists this ribosomal RNA (379 nucleotides) under Ehrlichia canis. RNAcentral describes it as "bacterial SSU rRNA". It matches the Rfam family "Bacterial small subunit ribosomal RNA", at positions 75 to 484 of the family's 1533-position model. The record is from RNAcentral. Lineage: Bacteria; Pseudomonadati; Pseudomonadota; Alphaproteobacteria; Rickettsiales; Anaplasmataceae.
AGCCUCUGGCUAUAGGAAAUUGUUAGUGGCAGACGGGUGAGUAAUGCGUAGGAAUCUACCUAGUAGUACGGAAUAGCCAUUAGAAAUGGUGGGUAAUACUGUAUAAUCCCCGAGGGGGAAAGAUUUAUCGCUAUUAGAUGAGCCUACGUUAGAUUAGCUAGUUGGUGAGGUAAUGGCUUACCAAGGCUAUGAUCUAUAGCUGGUCUGAGAGGACGAUCAGCCACACUGGAACUGAGAUACGGUCCAGACUCCUACGGGAGGCAGCAGUGGGGAAUAUUGGACAAUGGGCGAAAGCCUGAUCCAGCUAUGCCGCGUGAGUGAAGAAGGCCUUCGGGUUGUAAAACUCUUUCAAUAGGGAAGAUAAUGACGGUACCUAUAA